GAUCAUGGCUCAGGAUGAACGCUAGCGACAGGCUUAACACAUGCAAGUCGAGGGGCAGCGGGGUGUAGCAAUACACCGCCGGCGACCGGCGCACGGGUGAGUAACGCGUAUCCAACCUGCCCACCACUUGGGGAUAACCUUGCGAAAGUAAGACUAAUACCCAAUGACAUCCCACGAAGACAUCUGAAUGGGAUUAAAGAUUUAUCGGUGAUGGAUGGGGAUGCGUCUGAUUAGCUUGG
This 239-nucleotide ribosomal RNA is filed under the name uncultured bacterium. RNAcentral's name for it is "partial 16S ribosomal RNA". It matches the Rfam family "Bacterial small subunit ribosomal RNA", at positions 15 to 249 of the family's 1533-position model. The record is from RNAcentral.